UUAAUUGAAGCCAAAAAGAGGCAUAUUACUGUUAAUGAUAUUAUUGAAUGUAUGUUCCAAUUAAG
RNAcentral lists this transfer RNA (65 nucleotides) under Simulium ornatum. RNAcentral describes it as "tRNA-Asn". The record is from RNAcentral. Lineage: Eukaryota; Metazoa; Arthropoda; Insecta; Diptera; Simuliidae.